This 418-nucleotide unclassified non-coding RNA is filed under the name Hevea brasiliensis (rubber tree). Lineage: Eukaryota; Viridiplantae; Streptophyta; Magnoliopsida; Malpighiales; Euphorbiaceae. The record is from RNAcentral.
AUUCGGACAGGGUGCAAUUAGUGCAAUAAUAUAUUAUAUGUUUUACAUUUCUUGUCAUCUUCUCUUUUAAACAUUCAGGACAGCAAAUGGAUUUCCCCCCGUGACUUACGCUAUCGCUGCACAGGAGGGUAAUGGGGUUCAUGUCUCAGAUUGCCCUUGUUUUGUAACAUCUGGUAACUCCCAGGGUAUAUCGGCCAAGGAUAUGUGGCUUGAGAUGAAAGAGCAUGGAUCCUUUGAUCGGCUUAACUGUGCUGAUAUGUCAAUGCCCUCUGAAGUGGGUUCAUCCAUUGGUGCGGCCAUUGCAGCUUCAGUUACAGUUCCAUCUGAUGCAGUUCGUACGGUAACAUUUUCAUUGUCAUGGGACUGUCCUGAAGUGACCUUUUGUAGAGGAAAAACUUAUCACAGGCGUUACACAAAA